UAGCAAAAUGGCUUUUCUAACUCUUGAAAUUCCUUUUUUCCCCUGGGUAUAAAUGAGGAAGUAGGGAGUAUUGAAGAAGGGAAUUGGACCUUGGACCACAACCUUAGAAUAAUGUCUUUCCUAAAGUAACCACAUGCAAUUUUAUUUUGUUAUUUAUAUCUGGCUGAGACUGAUGCUGAAAAGCUUUUUGGAUUCACCUGAGCAUUUGGCUCCUUGGUGAAUUCAAUUUUUGACAUAGAGCUGGAUUUGAAUCCUCUCAUCCCCGAACUAUAAAAGAAAAAAGCUUUAUGGCUUGCUAUAUGGAGAAAAAGUUGGGAUUAACUAAUCAAAGCCUAAACACCUUCCGUUCCUCCUUUACUCCUUGGACCACAAAAUAAUCUAAUGGCAUGCCUUGUCCCCUUACCUAUUAUACCAUGUCCUAGGAUAUUCUUCUUUCCUGGUUUGGUACCAAGGAAUUUGGCAAUUGAUUUUAUCUAGUCUUGUUUUCCAUUCAUUGAUAUAAUUUCUGUCAAAAGUCACAUAUAUUCAUAAUGAAAAUAUCUUACGAAGAUUUACCUUUCAAUGCUUAAAAUUUGUGUUUUAAUGAAAUUUGUUGUAAACUAGUCUGUAUAGAUUCAGCAGUUCUCCCAAUGAAUUUUCUGGUAACCUUUUUUGUUAGGUGGAGGAGAUUAAAGAUAUUGAUGGCAGUUCCGAUAAUCCGGUCAUUGCAGAUGCCAUAGAAAAUUAGAAAGAGCUGAUUCUAUCUGAAGAUCAAAGGAAAAUUUUUAGAAAGGUCAAAGAGGAAGAUGAUGUAAAUACUGACGGGAAGUUUCAGCUGCAUUUGAAACAGAAGAGACAUCGAAGGAGAUCAAAACAG
Hibiscus syriacus is the source of this 856-nucleotide long non-coding RNA. RefSeq lists it as uncharacterized. NCBI's taxonomy places the organism in Eukaryota, Viridiplantae, Streptophyta, Magnoliopsida, Malvales, Malvaceae. The record is from RefSeq and is a predicted model, not a curated record. The transcript is spliced from 2 exons.